This 724-nucleotide ribosomal RNA is filed under the name sulfate-reducing bacterium enrichment clone BRIC4. RNAcentral describes it as "bacterial SSU rRNA". It matches the Rfam family "Bacterial small subunit ribosomal RNA", at positions 1 to 692 of the family's 1533-position model. The record is from RNAcentral.
CCUUUAGAGUUUGAUCCUGGCUCAGAACGAACGCUGGCGGCGUGCUUAACACAUGCAAGUCGAACGCGAAAGAGGUCUUCGGACCUCUCUAGAGUGGCGCACGGGUGAGUAACGCGUAGAUAAUCUACCUCUAUAUUUGGGAUAACAGUUCGAAAGGACUGCUAAUACCGGAUACACUUAUUUGAACGCGAGUUUGAGUGAGGAAAGGUGACCUCUCCUUGGAAGUUACUGUAUAGAGAUGAGUCUGCGUACCAUUAGCUAGUAGGUAGGGUAAAGGCCUACCUAGGCUACGAUGGUUAGCUGGGUCUGAGAGGAUGAUCCGCCACACUGGAACUGGAACACGGACCAGACUCCUACGGGAGGCAGCAGUGAGGAAUAUUGCGCAAUGGGGGAAACCCUGACGCAGCGACGCCGCGUGGGUGAUGAAGGCCUUCGGGUUGUAAAGCCCUGUCAGGUGGGAAGAAGUGUCCAUGGCUAAUAUCCAUGGUAUUUGACGGUCCACCAAAGGAAGCACCGGCUAACUCUGUGCCAGCAGCCGCGGUAAUCUAGAGGGUGCAAGCCGUUGUUCGGAUUUUACUGGGGCGUAAAGGGCCGCGUAGGCNGGGCUUCCUAAGUCAGAUGUGAAAGCCACGGGCUCAACCGUGGGAAAGUGCAUCUGAAACUGCUUAGACCUUGAGUUUGGGANAAGGAAAGUGGAAAUCCCGGUGUAAAGGUGAAAUUCGUA